CCCCACCCCACCCCACCCCACUUGUAUGGCUACUACUAGUAGACACACAACACAAAACAGAGAGCGCCAUGCUUCUCCUUCCUCCUCUGCAAACGAGCGGCACUUCGAGUCGAGGCUUGCCGGUUCCUAUUUUGUCUGUGGAGAGGAACGAGUUUUACCUCUUGCUACUUUUUUUAUUUAUCUGUUCUUAUUAAUGGUGUUGUUCUUGUAUGUAUCUUCAGGCAACGCAUCCGAUUGUCUCCGUUCUACAAGAUACCCGAGGCCUCUCAUGAAAAUAAACUAAUAUAAGAGCGUUAGUGAUCUAAACGCUCUUAUAUUAAUUUACGGAGGGAGUAUGUAUCUUGAGGCAAGGCAUCCGGCUCUUUGCGUUCUAAGCGCGGGAUUAACUUGAUUACCCUGGGAUGGAAGCCUGCUACCCGAGGGAUCUCUUUCCCUGCCUGGAGCCGGCUGUGGCCCAUCUACAAGAUAGUACCACCUCGCUUCCCUGGAUCAAUCGGCGCCUCACCUCGACUAUAUAUACGCCGCAUCACUCGUUCCCCUUCCACACCAGUCGACCGAAUCCGUGGGGCUCACCAGAAGACGCGGGCUCAGCAGACCGCCAUCCCCAGCCGACCCUCUCCCGAGUCGACGCCCAAGGUCAGGAUCCAUUUCUUCUCCCCGGAGUCGACGCCCAAGGUCACGAACCAUUUCUUACUCCUAGGACGCUCCUCCCCCCCUUCCCCGAGUCGACGCCCAAGGUGCGAUGGCCUCCAAGCCUGAGAUCCCCUGGACAGUUGUGGCUGAGUGGAAGUAUGCCAGGGUUCGCAAGCAGCUGGCCAAUGGCUCUGCCAGCGACGAGUCUGAUGAUCUAGAGAAAGAGCAUGGACUGACAGGAAUUAAGGGAAGUGUUUCGUAUCGCCAGCCGUAUGUUCUAUAUGUUGAUGGUAAGCCAUGUCAAUAGCAACUGUCCCUUCAGAUUUGAUUCAACUUGGCACUGAAUCAUUGAUAGUAUUUUCUACUCUUUAAACUUAGUUGAAAUCAUAUACUGUUCAUCAAAUGGCGUAUAUUCUAAUUUUAAUUAUUAUUUAACAGAAAUAGGUUUAAUGGAAAUGCUUUGGAAUUAUUGGCACCAUUAUAGAUCAGAGCACUUGUUUACUUGCAAUGCCAUAUGCCAACCUGCUGACAUAUGAGCAUGCAUUUUUUUGUCCUGUGAUUUCUUGAAUACCAUAUACAGAUUCUGUCUUGUUGGUGUAUGUUACUCACAUGCCAAACUUUGAAUUCUUUAAGUGUUUGAUUUGCUUGUAGUUUCAACUGUUACUUUUGUGUUCUUGCAGGCGGAAUAUCUAGUGUUUAGAGUCUGAUCUUGUGUAAUAUCUAGGUUCUUAUCAGUGUAAAUUCUCUAGUGUUUAGAGUCUGAUCUUUUGUAAUAUCUAGGUUCUUAUCAGUGUAAAUUCUUUUGUUUCUUGCAGUUUAACUUCUAUAAAUAUUCUAGGUGUAAUAUCUAGUUACAAGAACUGUACUUUUAAGGUUCUUUUCAGUGUACUAUUCUAGUUGUAAAAAUGUAAUAUCUUGGUUCUUACAAAAUAAUAUUUUUCCUUCUCUUUUGAAUAAAAGCCCAGAUUCAUGCUGUUUCA
RNA transcript from Triticum aestivum (bread wheat), 1613 nucleotides. RefSeq lists it as uncharacterized. The transcript has 3 exons. The record is from RefSeq and is a predicted model, not a curated record. NCBI's taxonomy places the organism in Eukaryota, Viridiplantae, Streptophyta, Magnoliopsida, Poales, Poaceae.